Cinara cedri is the source of this 239-nucleotide non-coding RNA. The record is from the annotation of a GenBank genome assembly. Lineage: Eukaryota; Metazoa; Arthropoda; Insecta; Hemiptera; Aphididae.
AUGUCUAGGAGCAAAUUGAUUUUAAUAUUUCAGAAGAUUACUAUUAUGUUUCAAAUCAUCAAGAUGCUUUUUCCUGAAAUUAACAGUAUAUAAUAAUAGUGUUGACAUAUAUAGGUAUAUUUAUUUUUUUGAGAGGGCUAUGGAAAUUGAAUGUUACCUAUAGUUUAUUUUUUAUAGACCAAAAUUAAAAAGUAAAAAACUACACACUACCAAUAGGUAGAAUAAAAAUACCAAUUUUG